GGUAAUCUAGUUUAAGAACGUAACCAAAACAAUGAAUGAGAGUUUAGAGGUCAAAAAUUUUGUUUAUUGAAGUGUUUGAGGGUUUGCCGAAAAGGAGAUACAAAAGACUAAGAACUCGUCGUCAAUAAAUAUUUCUCUUUCGUUCCACCUUCCUCCAUCAUUACGUUUCUGCAUCAGCACAGUGAUUGGCGGGUUCGGCGCCGUAAUAGGGUUUGGUGUUCUGCUUCGCCUGACUCUCAGGUCGUUCUGAUGAGCAGGUGAGAUGAUGGUCUUUUUUUUUUCAGCUGGCCUUUUCUGGGCCGUUCUUUCUUUUCAUGUCUUCGUCCGUCGUUGGAUCGAGUCGACUUUUGAGCCUGGACGGGAAUCUGGACCCAUAUCCAACAAUUACUCUAAAGAGUAUUAACGAUAAUCAUCAUUCUAAUAAAAGACUAGAAAUAAAUACAUAUAGUGUUUAAAUUACUUAUUUAUUUAUUGUGAGUAAAAUACUAUUCUCCCUAACCACAUGUUUUUUUUUUCAGUUAGAUGGAUCAUGGAUGUCUUAAAAAUAUUUGGAAUUUUUUUACUAUUUAUUUAUUUAUUUAUUCUAAAUCGUUGAAUUUAUUGAAUUACCAUUAAUCUUAAUUUAAAUAAUAUUUAAAUGAUAUAUUCAUAACAAUAAUAUUUUUUUCAAUAUAUGUGAAAACAUUAAAAACUAUAUUCGUAGAAAUUUUUGUUUGAUACAUUAAAUUUCUUCAUCUUACGUAGCCAAUUAUAAUUUUAUAAUUUUUAAAAUUAGUAUAAUAUAAAAAAAAAUGGCUGAUUGCGUUAAUUUCGUUAAUUUAGUUGACCUCGCUCUAUUUUUCUAUUUCUCAUAAGUUUAAUAAAACAAACUAUUUUUACCUUAUCUGUUGUGUAUAUAUACUACGAGCGUUAGAAAUACUUUUUUAACAAGAAAACAAAUCAUUGUUUAUGCUAUCUUUUAUCAGAUUUGAGCCAUGAAGUCUCAUAUUUUAUUCAUUUUUUCUUGUGUUAUUUUGUUGCUCGUUUUGAGCUAUCCAGAAGGUAUAUAUCAAUAUUUGUUUUAUGACUAACAAUUGUGGUAUAUAUAAAUAUAUCAACCUCUAAUAUUCAAUUUGCUGCAUUAUCAAAAGAAAAACUAAACUUCAUUAUUUAUUAUAUAAAAAAAAAUUUCUUUGCUGAUAUAAACUGUAGAAGCAAAAGCUAACAGAUGUCACCGUACGGCCUAUUUUCCUGGAAGAUGCGAAGAUGUUGGAAGAACAAGUUGCCUCAUGGAUUUCAAGACACUGGACCCGCGUUUUGAUCAAUGUAGUAGAUGUGAGAACCAUAAGAUCAAUGGUAAACAAGAACGUCGAUGCCAUUGCAGUUUCGCUGCCAAAUCCUGCUUUUAAUUUCAUGCAGAUGUUAGCUAUGGCAUCCGAUUUAAAAGGGCAUAUUUUAAUUUUAUUUUCUUAUUGAUAUUUAC
This 1462-nucleotide long non-coding RNA is filed under the name Brassica rapa (field mustard). RNAcentral's name for it is "long non-coding RNA (BRAP_LNC007434)". The record is from RNAcentral. Lineage: Eukaryota; Viridiplantae; Streptophyta; Magnoliopsida; Brassicales; Brassicaceae.